UACGUAGGGGGCAAGCGUUAUCCGGAUUUACUGGGUGUAAAGGGAGCGCAGACGGAUGGAUAAGUCUGAAGUGAAAGCCCGCGGCUCAACUGCGGGACUGCUUUGGAAACUGUGCAUCUUGAGUACGGGAGGGGCAGGCGGAAUUCCUGGUGUAGCGGUGAAAUGCGUAGAUAUCAGGAGGAACACCGGCGGCGAAGGCGGCCUGCUGGACCGAAACUGACGUUGAGGCUCGAAAGCGUGGGGAGCAA
This 248-nucleotide ribosomal RNA is filed under the name uncultured Lachnospiraceae bacterium. RNAcentral's name for it is "partial 16S ribosomal RNA". It matches the Rfam family "Bacterial small subunit ribosomal RNA", at positions 524 to 771 of the family's 1533-position model. The record is from RNAcentral. Lineage: Bacteria; Bacillati; Bacillota; Clostridia; Lachnospirales; Lachnospiraceae.